RNAcentral lists this transfer RNA (71 nucleotides) under Agitococcus lubricus. It matches the Rfam family "tRNA". Rfam says of the family: Transfer RNA (tRNA) molecules are approximately 80 nucleotides in length. Lineage: Bacteria; Pseudomonadati; Pseudomonadota; Gammaproteobacteria; Moraxellales; Moraxellaceae. The record is from Rfam by way of RNAcentral.
GCGGGUGUAGUUUAAUGGUAGAACGGCAGCUUCCCAAGCUUUCGGCGAGGGUUCGAUUCCCUUCACCCGCU